CAUGGGAACUUUAAAAGCAGGAUUCUUAAACUGGGGGUUGCGACCUCUCAGGGGGGUCAUGAGGUUAUUACAUGGGGGGUCGCGAGCUGUCAGCCUCCACACCCAAGCCCCACUUCGCCUCCAGCAUUUAUAAUAUUAAAUAUAAAAAAGUGUUUUU
This is a long non-coding RNA of Chelonia mydas (Green sea turtle), 157 nucleotides long. RefSeq lists it as uncharacterized. The record is from RefSeq and is a predicted model, not a curated record. Lineage: Eukaryota; Metazoa; Chordata; Testudines; Cheloniidae. The transcript is spliced from 3 exons.